AUAGUUGUGUUAUGCUAACAAUAGCAUAUUGAAAAAGAAUUGUCAAGAGUUUAAAAAUUUGAGCGGGUUGACCCCGUAGAGACUACACGCUGGAUCGAGCACCUUUCAUGUUCGGAAUUUGUAUGCGGUUUGCAAACAUUACAGAUGUUAAGUAACUGCAUCAAAAAAUUUCAAUGUGAGAAAGGUGCUCGAAAGAUAUAGUCCGAACUCCAUGGCGACAUGGAG
RNAcentral lists this non-coding RNA (225 nucleotides) under Parcubacteria group bacterium GW2011_GWA2_42_14. The record is from RNAcentral.